This 1332-nucleotide ribosomal RNA is filed under the name metagenome. RNAcentral describes it as "bacterial LSU rRNA". It matches the Rfam family "Bacterial large subunit ribosomal RNA", at positions 1604 to 2925 of the family's 2925-position model. The record is from RNAcentral.
GCUGCCAAGAAAAUCUUCUAGCGAGGUUCGAGCCGCCCGUACCCCAAACCGACUCAGGUGGUUAGGUAGAGAAUACCAAGGCGAUCGAGUGAAUCGUGGUUAAGGAAUUCGGCAAAAUACCCCCGUAACUUCGGGAGAAGGGGGGCCCAGAGGGUGACGGGACUUGCUCCCCGAGCCUGAACGGCCGCAGAGACCAGGGAGAAGCGACUGUUUACUAAAAACACAGGUCCGUGCCAAGUCGCAAGACGAUGUAUACGGACUGACGCCUGCCCGGUGCUGGAACGUUAAGGGGACCGGUUAGCCUCACGGCGAAGCUGAGAACUUAAGCGCCAGUAAACGGCGGUGGUAACUAUAACCAUCCUAAGGUAGCGAAAUUCCUUGUCGGGUAAGUUCCGACCUGCACGAAUGGCGUAACGAUUUCUCCACUGUCUCAACCACGAACUCGGCGAAAUUGCACUACGAGUAAAGAUGCUCGUUACGCGCAGAAGGACGGAAAGACCCCGGGACCUUUACUACAGCUUGGUAUUGGUGUUCGGUACGGCUUGUGUAGGAUAGGUGGGAGACUGUGAAGCUGACACGCCAGUGUCGGUGGAGUCAACGUUGAAAUACCACUCUGGUCGUUCUGGAUAUCUAACCUAGGUCCGUGAUCCGGAUCAGGGACAGUGCCUGGUGGGUAGUUUAACUGGGGCGGUUGCCUCCUAAAAGGUAACGGAGGCGCCCAAAGGUUCCCUCAGCCUGGUUGGCAAUCAGGUUUUGAGUGUAAGUGCACAAGGGAGCUUGACUGUGAGACUGACAAGUCGAACAGGGACGAAAGUCGGGACUAGUGAUCCGGCGGUGGCUUGUGGAAGCGCCGUCGCUCAACGGAUAAAAGGUACCCCGGGGAUAACAGGCUGAUCUUGCCCAAGAGUCCAUAUCGACGGCAUGGUUUGGCACCUCGAUGUCGGCUCGUCGCAUCCUGGGGCUGGAGUAGGUCCCAAGGGUUGGGCUGUUCGCCCAUUAAAGCGGUACGCGAGCUGGGUUUAGAACGUCGUGAGACAGUUCGGUCCCUAUCCUCUGCGCGCGCAGGAAACUUGAGAAGGGCUGUCCCUAGUACGAGAGGACCGGGAUGGACGAACCUCUGGUGUGUCAGUUGUUCUGCCAAGAGCACCGCUGAUUAGCUACGUUCGGGAGUGAUAACCGCUGAAAGCAUCUAAGCGGGAAGCAUGCUUCAAGAUGAGGUUUCCAUGGGGUUUACCCCGAGAGGCUCCCAGCUAGACUACUGGGUUGAUAGGCCGGAUGUGGAAGUGCGGUAACGCAUGGAGCUGACCGGUACUAAUAAGCCGAUAACUUGAA